Molecule: ribosomal RNA, 537 nt
Filed under: Rhodotorula diobovata
Lineage: Eukaryota; Fungi; Basidiomycota; Microbotryomycetes; Sporidiobolales; Sporidiobolaceae
Description: partial large subunit ribosomal RNA
Rfam family: Eukaryotic large subunit ribosomal RNA
Source: RNAcentral
CUCAAAUUUAUAAUCUGGCACCUUCGGUGUCCGAGUUGUAAUCUCUAGAAGUGUUUUCCGCGUUGGACCGCACACAAGUCUGUUGGAAUACAGCGGCAUAGUGGUGAAACCCCCGUAUAUGGUGCGGACGCCCAGCGCUUUGUGAUACACUUUCAAUGAGUCGAGUUGUUUGGGAAUGCAGCUCAAAUUGGGUGGUAAAUUCCAUCUAAAGCUAAAUAUUGGCGAGAGACCGAUAGCGAACAAGUACCGUGAGGGAAAGAUGAAAAGCACUUUGGAAAGAGAGUUAACAGUACGUGAAAUUGUUGGAAGGGAAACGCUUGAAGUCAGACUUGCUUGCCGGAGCUUGCUUCGGUUUGCAGGCCAGCAUCAGUUUUCCGGGGUGGAUAAUGACGGUUUGAAGGUAGCAGUCUCGGCUGUGUUAUAGCUUUCCGUUGGAUACGCCCUGGGGGACUGAGGAACGCAGCGUGCUUUUUGCGAAAGACUCGUCUUUUUCACGCUUAGGAUGCUGGUGGAAUGGCUUUAAACGACCCGUCUUGA